This 252-nucleotide ribosomal RNA is filed under the name uncultured bacterium. RNAcentral's name for it is "partial 16S ribosomal RNA". It matches the Rfam family "Bacterial small subunit ribosomal RNA", at positions 524 to 776 of the family's 1533-position model. The record is from RNAcentral.
UACAGGGGGGGCAAGCGUUGUUCGGAAUUACUGGGCGUAAAGGGCUCGUAGGUGGCCAACUAAGUCAGACGUGAAAUCCCUCAGCUUAACUGGGGAACUGCGUCUGAUACUGGAUGGCUUGAGUUUGGGAGAGGGAUGCGGAAUUCCAGGUGUAGCGGUGAAAUGCGUAGAUAUCUGGAGGAACACCGGUGGCGAAGGCGGCAUCCUGGACCAAUCCUGACACGGGGGAGCGAAGGCCGGGGAGCAAACGGG